This 106-nucleotide ribosomal RNA is filed under the name uncultured bacterium. RNAcentral's name for it is "partial 16S ribosomal RNA". It matches the Rfam family "Bacterial small subunit ribosomal RNA", at positions 248 to 353 of the family's 1533-position model. The record is from RNAcentral.
GUUGGUGAGGUAACGGCUCACCAAGACACGAUCGANCGGGGACUGAGAGGUUGAACGGCCACAUUGGGACUGAGACACGGCCCAGACUCCUACGGGAGGCAGCAUG